GGGCGUAUAGCUCAGUUGGUUAGAGCGCGACACUGAUAAUGUCGAGGUCCGUGGUUCAAAUCCACGUACGCCCACCA
This 77-nucleotide transfer RNA is filed under the name Candidatus Altimarinota bacterium. Its description in RNAcentral is "tRNA-Ile". It matches the Rfam family "tRNA". From Rfam's summary of the family: Transfer RNA (tRNA) molecules are approximately 80 nucleotides in length. Their secondary structure includes four short double-helical elements and three loops (D, anti-codon, and T loops). Further hydrogen bonds mediate the characteristic L-shaped molecular structure. tRNAs have two regions of fundamental functional importance: the anti-codon, which is responsible for specific mRNA codon recognition, and the 3' end, to which the tRNAs corresponding amino acid is attached (by aminoacyl-tRNA synthetases). tRNAs cope with the degeneracy of the genetic code in two manners: having more than one tRNA (with a specific anti-codon) for a particular amino acid; and 'wobble' base-pairing, i.e. permitting non-standard base-pairing at the 3rd anti-codon position. Lineage: Bacteria; Candidatus Altimarinota. The record is from RNAcentral.